This 1520-nucleotide ribosomal RNA is filed under the name Psychrobacter sp. PAMC 21119. RNAcentral's name for it is "bacterial SSU rRNA". It matches the Rfam family "Bacterial small subunit ribosomal RNA". The record is from RNAcentral. Lineage: Bacteria; Pseudomonadati; Pseudomonadota; Gammaproteobacteria; Moraxellales; Moraxellaceae.
AGAGUUUGAUCAUGGCUCAGAUUGAACGCUGGCGGCAGGCUUAACACAUGCAAGUCGAGCGGAAACGAUGAUAGCUUGCUAUCAGGCGUCGAGCGGCGGACGGGUGAGUAAUACUUAGGAAUCUACCUAGUAGUGGGGAUAGCACGGGGAAACUCGUAUUAAUACCGCAUACGACCUACGGGAGAAAGGGGGCAGUUUACUGCUCUCGCUAUUAGAUGAGCCUAAGUCGGAUUAGCUAGAUGGUGGGGUAAAGGCCUACCAUGGCGACGAUCUGUAGCUGGUCUGAGAGGAUGAUCAGCCACACCGGGACUGAGACACGGCCCGGACUCCUACGGGAGGCAGCAGUGGGGAAUAUUGGACAAUGGGGGAAACCCUGAUCCAGCCAUGCCGCGUGUGUGAAGAAGGCCUUUUGGUUGUAAAGCACUUUAAGCAGUGAAGAAGACUCCUCGGUUGAUACCCGUGGACGAUGACAUUAGCUGCAGAAUAAGCACCGACUAACUCUGUGCCAGCAGCCGCGGUAAUACAGAGGGUGCAAGCGUUAAGUCGGAAUUACGUGGGACGUAAAGGGAGCGUAGGUGGCUCGAUAAGUCAGAUGUGAAAUCCCCGGGCCCAACCUGGGAACUGCAUCUGAUACUGUUGAGCUAGAGUAUGUGAGAGGAAGGUAGAAUUCCAGGUGUAGCGGUGAAAUGCGUAGAGAUCUGGAGGAAUACCGAUGGCGAAGGCAGCCUUCUGGCAUAAUACUGACACUGAGGCUCGAAAGCGUGGGUAGCAAACAGGAUUAGAUACCCUGGUAGUCCACGCCGUAAACGAUGUCUACUAGUCGUUGGGUCCCUUGAGGACUUAGUGACGCAGCUAACGCAAUAAGUAGGCGCCUGGGGAGUACGGCCGCAAGGUUAAAACUCAAAUGAAUUGACGGGGGCCCGCACAAGCGGUGGAGCAUGUGGUUUAAUUCGAUGCAACGCGAAGAACCUUACCUGGUCUUGACAUAUCUAGAAUCCUGCAGAGAUGCGGGAGUGCCUUCGGGAAUUAGAAUACAGGUGCUGCAUGGCUGUCGUCAGCUCGUGUCGUGAGAUGUUGGGUUAAGUCCCGCAACGAGCGCAACCCUUGUCCUUAGUUACCAGCGGGUUAAGCCGGGAACUCUAAGGAUACUGCCAGUGACAAACUGGAGGAAGGCGGGGACGACGUCAAGUCAUCAUGGCCCUUACGACCAGGGCUACACACGUGCUACAAUGGUAGGUACAGAGGGCAGCUACACAGCGAUGUGAUGCGAAUCUCAAAAAGCCUAUCGUAGUCCAGAUUGGAGUCUGCAACUCGACUCCAUGAAGUAGGAAUCGCUAGUAAUCGCGGAUCAGAAUGCCGCGGUGAAUACGUUCCCGGGCCUUGUACACACCGCCCGUCACACCAUGGGAGUUGAUUGCACCAGAAGUGGAUAGCUUAACCUUCGGGGAGGCGUUCACCACGGUGUGGUUGAUGACUGGGGUGAAGUCGUAACAAGGUAGCCGUAGGGGAACCUGCGGCUG